RNAcentral lists this ribosomal RNA (579 nucleotides) under uncultured Clostridium sp. RNAcentral describes it as "bacterial SSU rRNA". It matches the Rfam family "Bacterial small subunit ribosomal RNA", at positions 94 to 692 of the family's 1533-position model. Lineage: Bacteria; Bacillati; Bacillota; Clostridia; Eubacteriales; Clostridiaceae. The record is from RNAcentral.
AGUGGCGAACGGGUGAGUAACGCGUGAGGAACCUGCCUCUCACAACGGGAUAGCCUCGGGAAACCGGGAUUAAUACCGUAUGACACUAUCAGAUGGCAUCAUCAGAUAGUUAAAGUGCUAGCGGUGAGAGAUGGCCUCGCGUCUGAUUAGUUAGUUGGUGGGGUAACGGCCUACCAAGACGACGAUCAGUAACCGGCCUGAGAGGGUGAACGGUCACAUUGGAACUGAGACACGGUCCAAACUCCUACGGGAGGCAGCAGUGGGGAAUCUUGCACAAUGGGGGGAACCCUGAUGCAGCGACGCCGCGUGAGCGAUGAAGGUUUUCGAAUCGUAAAGCUCUGUCCUAUGGGAAGAUAAUGACGGUACCAUAGGAGGAAGCCCCGGCUAACUACGUGCCAGCAGCCGCGGUAAUACGUAGGGGGCGAGCGUUGUCCGGAAUUACUGGGCGUAAAGGGUUCGCAGGCGGCAUGACAAGUCCGAUGUAAAAGGCGAAAGCUCAACUUUCGUAAGCAUCGGAAACUGUCAAGCUUGAGUGAAGGAGACGCAAGUGGAAUUCCUAAUGUAGCGGUGGAAUGCGUA